UACAGAGGGUGCAAGCGUUGUUCGGAUUUACUGGGCGUAAAGCGUGCGUAGGUUGUACUAAGAGUCAUAAGUGAAAUCCCUGGGCUUAACCCAGGAGCUGCUUGUGAUACCUUAAUACUAGAGUGUGGAAGGGGAUGGUAGAAUUCCCAGUGUAGCGGUGAAAUGCGUAGAGAUUGGGAGGAAUACCGGUGGCGAAGGCGGCCAUCUGGUCCACAACUGACACUGAGGCACGAAAGCGUGGGGAGCAAACAGG
Molecule: ribosomal RNA, 253 nt
Filed under: uncultured bacterium
Lineage: Bacteria
Description: partial 16S ribosomal RNA
Rfam family: Bacterial small subunit ribosomal RNA
Source: RNAcentral